RNAcentral lists this ribosomal RNA (425 nucleotides) under uncultured bacterium. RNAcentral's name for it is "bacterial SSU rRNA". It matches the Rfam family "Bacterial small subunit ribosomal RNA", at positions 917 to 1345 of the family's 1533-position model. The record is from RNAcentral.
GGGCCCGCACAAGCGGUGGAGCAUGUGGUUUAAUUCGAUGAUACGCGAGGAACCUUACCAGGGCUUAAAUGUAGUGGGACAGGUCUAGAGAUAGACCCUUCUUCGGACUCAUUACAAGGUGCUGCAUGGUUGUCGUCAGCUCGUGCCGUGAGGUGUCAGGUUAAGUCCUAUAACGAGCGCAACCCCUAUCGUUAGUUGCCAGCGGGUAAUGCCGGGAACUCUAGCGAAACUGCCGGUGCAAACCGUGAGGAAGGUGGGGAUGACGUCAAAUCAUCACGGCCCUUACGUCCUGGGCCACACACGUGCUACAAUGGCCGGUACAGAGAGCAGCCACUACGCGAGUAGGAGCGAAUCUAUAAAACCGGUCUCAGUUCGGAUCGCAGUCUGCAACUCGACUGCGUGAAGCUGGAAUCGCUAGUAAUCGC